Molecule: ribosomal RNA, 397 nt
Filed under: uncultured bacterium
Lineage: Bacteria
Description: partial 16S ribosomal RNA
Rfam family: Bacterial small subunit ribosomal RNA
Source: RNAcentral
AUACGUAGGGUGCGAGCGUUGUCCGGAAUUACUGGGCGUAAAGAGCUCGUAGGUGGUUUGUCGCGUCGUCUGUGAAAUUCGGGGCUUAACUCCGGGCGUGCAGGCGAUACGGGCAUAACUUGAGUACUGUAGGGGAGACUGGAAUUCCUGGUGUAGCGGUGAAAUGCGCAGAUAUCAGGAGGAACACCGGUGGCGAAGGCGGGUCUCUGGGCAGUAACUGACGCUGAGGAGCGAAAGCAUGGGUAGCGAACAGGAUUAGAUACCCUGGUAGUCCAUGCCGUAAACGGUGGGCGCUAGGUGUAGGGGUCUUCCACGACUUCUGUGCCGUAGCUAACGCAUUAAGCGCCCCGCCUGGGGAGUACGGCCGCAAGGCUAAAACUCAAAGGAAUUGACGGGG